CCUUCUUUUGGCGCGAAGGGGUUAAUUAUGUGCUCCAAGCCCACACUAUGUCAUUCAUCAUUUUUAAGUUUAUCCAUUUACUUAUUUCAUGAUGGAACACACUCUCAAGAUAUACAAAACUAGUACUGGGUAUCCAACACUAGUUGUUGCUGAAUUCAAAUUUGACUACUUAAACACCCCAAGUGAGUUGAACAACAGAGAAUCAGGUGGCUAGAGUCUACUGAUCCAGCCAUUAGAAGCCAUUACAGUCACGGCACCAUGCUUUAACACAGAUGUUGGCACAUGACCAAAGACAGACUUCUCAACUUACUCCAUCAUGAGCAGCAUGCCAUGUAUAAAGUUUUACAGCAUUUCUGCAGAGUUGACCGAGCCCAUAAAGUGUUCAGGUACAGGCACAGUGGGUGAUGAGUAUACAAGAAUAGGCUGCCCCUCCCAAGACAUGCUGGCACUAAAUGAAGGCAUGAUUCAGACAAAGUUGUGGAAAUGGCCGGGGGACACUGAGUUUAAAGAUGGGAUCCAGAAACAUGGAAUAAUUGGUCACCAUGGGAGGAAAGUAAAGGGAAAAGUGAAGGUAUCUGUUGGGCAGUUUUGUAACCGUGUCCUUUUCCAAGUCUGACAAGCACAUGUGUACUGAAAAAUUACCUGUACAGUGGAAGUUUCAUGUGCAAAACUGGACAGUGCAGGUUGGAAUACUGAAACUUAGAUAUCUGGGUAGAAAGCCAAAUACCUUGAUCACAACACACGGUACGAGUGUAAAAAAAGGAGAGUACUGUACAAGAUAGUGUCUGCUCAUUGCAAUCAGACUGGCCACAUCCCCAUGACAGCACACUGUUGUCUGAAGCUGAAGUGUCCACAUUUAGUACGCAAUCUUUUGCAUAUGAGCAGACACUGUCUUGUAUAAGAUGCUAACUGGCACGAAAGCAGUGCAUUCAGACAUCCUCCAAAGAUUUGCAAAAGGAGUUGGAGACUGACUUGAUGAGGAUUCCAUUCACAAUCCCUGGCAUAAAUGCGAAGUUCUUGUAUGUAUGUGUCCAAUCUGGGAAUAUUCAUACCCUUUUUAAUGAGUAUAAUCAACAGCCCUGGCCUCAUUCCUACCACAGUAUGUAGUACCUUGCAUUUCAGUAAACCUUUGAGACUUGGAAAAGGACUCAACAACACCACUGCUGGUUAGAUAAUUGGAUUGGUACAAAUUGUGAGAGCCCAGUGUCAAGAAUGACUGUUGAUCGAAUUCUCGAAAAAUUUGAUUAAUUUCAAGCAAAUGAGAAGCAUGUAUAACUAAUAUUUGUACAAGUCUUGUUGAAUUGUUUACUUCUUUAAUGUAGCACAGUUUUGUAUUUGUUUUCUGAAGAAAAGUGUUUACAUAUCAAGAAUUAAGCUCUGGAUUUCAAAUAGCAGAAAGUUUUCACUCAGACACAAAGUAGGUUGGUUUUAAAAUCUUGAUGCAAAGUGAACAUAGCAUCAGCAAAUAUAAAUUUGCAGAAAAAUUUGCCAGGAUUAAAAUGUGUGAAACUUUUGCAGCUGUGCGACAUGAUUCAUUGCUAUUUCCUCACCACUUUUAACAUUUUUUUGUUAGUUUUUGACAUUCACAUGACUUCACACAUGAGCUAUUUCUUGGCCACGCAGAGAUUUUAAAAUUCAAUUUCUCACAUCCAUGCACUUUACAUCCUACAAAAGCAGCCACUGACUUGGAAAUAUGCACUGUCUGCAAAAUUUUGGUAAUUUGUCCUUUUUUUUCUUGACAAGGGGCUUAAUGUUGUACAAUGAAGACCAAGGGUGUGAAAUUAAAGUGUAGUCAUGAACAUCACAAGUCAAGUCAAAAACCAAAUAUCAAAAGUCUGGCUACAAUUGAGCUCAAGAUAAACAAAUCAACUGAGACAGAUAACACUGAAUUUGAAGAGCUUGUGGUUUGAGGCUGCAUGACUUCUGACUGACUUGUGAUGGACUUGUCAGGGUUUGACUAUAAU
This 1964-nucleotide long non-coding RNA is filed under the name Acanthaster planci (crown-of-thorns starfish). RNAcentral describes it as "uncharacterized LOC110985292". The record is from RNAcentral. Lineage: Eukaryota; Metazoa; Echinodermata; Asteroidea; Valvatida; Acanthasteridae.